GGGCCCGCACAAGCGGAGGAACAUGUGGUUUAAUUCGAUGAUACGCGAGGAACCUUACCUGGGUUUAAAUGGGAAGUGACAGGCUUGGAAACAGGCCCUUCUUCGGACACUUUUCAAGGUGCUGCAUGGUUGUCGUCAGCUCGUGCCGUGAGGUGUCGGGUUAAGUCCCAUAACGAGCGCAACCCCUAUCGAUAGUUACCAGCACGUAAUGGUGGGGACUCUAUCGAGACUGCCGGUGUAAACCGUGAGGAAGGUGGGGAUGACGUCAAAUCAGCACGGCCCUUACAUCCAGGGCUACACACGUGUUACAAUGGCCGGUACAAAGGGCAGCUACACAGCGAUGUGAUGCUAAUCUCUAAAGCCGGUCUCAGUUCGGAUCGAAGUCUGCAACCCGACUUCGUGAAGCUGGAUUCGCUAGUAAUCGCGCAUCAGCCAUGGCGCGGUGAAUACGUUCCCGGGCCUU
This 463-nucleotide ribosomal RNA is filed under the name uncultured bacterium. Its description in RNAcentral is "bacterial SSU rRNA". It matches the Rfam family "Bacterial small subunit ribosomal RNA", at positions 917 to 1382 of the family's 1533-position model. The record is from RNAcentral.